CAAUAGCGUAUAUUAAAGUUGUUGCAGUUAAAAAGCUCGUAGUUGGACCUUGGACCCGGACAGGCGGUCCGCCUCACGGCGUGUACUGUCUUGCUGGGUCUUUCCUCUUGGUGAUCUGUUGUUUCGGCAGCAGGGAACCAGGACUUUUACUUUGAAAAAAUUAGAGUGUUCAAAGCAGGCUCGACGCCGGAAUAUAUUAGCAUGGAAUAAUAAAAUAGGACGUGCGGUUCUAUUUUGUUGGUUUUUGGAAUCGCCGUAAUGAUUAAUAGGGACAGUCGGGGGCAUUAGUACUCACAUGCUAGAGGUGAAAUUCUUGGAUUUUGUGAAGACUAACUUCUGCGAAAGCAUUUGCCAAGGAUGUUUUCAUUAA
RNAcentral lists this ribosomal RNA (370 nucleotides) under uncultured eukaryote. Its description in RNAcentral is "partial 18S ribosomal RNA". It matches the Rfam family "Eukaryotic small subunit ribosomal RNA", at positions 592 to 976 of the family's 1831-position model. The record is from RNAcentral.